GCCUGCCCUGCAUGUUAAAGCAUGGAAUAACAAGGCAUCGACCACUCGGCGGUGCUUUUGUUGGUCUUUCCCUCCCGGUGGGAAUGCGCAGGCGUGCAMACUGCCGGCCUUCUGGCCGGUCUGGGUGCCGUCUCUUCGAGAUCAAUAGGGGCAAACGGGGAGAUACCUAUUGUGGGGAAAGCGGUGAAAUGCGAUGACCCCCAUAAGAGGAACUUCAGCGAAAGCAGUUCUCAAGACUGCCUUCGUUAAUCAAGAACGAGACUGUGGGGAUCAAAGAUGAUCAGAUACCGUCGUAGUCCACUAGCGUAAACGAUGCCGACUCAUCAUUGGGGGGCAUCUCUAACAAGCGCCCCCCAGUGGUUCUCCCCCCUGUAAGAGAAAUCUAAGUUUAUGGGCUCAGGGGGGAGUAUGGCUGCAAGGCUGAAACUUGAAGGAAUUGACGGAAU
RNAcentral lists this ribosomal RNA (446 nucleotides) under uncultured marine eukaryote. Its description in RNAcentral is "partial 18S ribosomal RNA". It matches the Rfam family "Eukaryotic small subunit ribosomal RNA", at positions 799 to 1173 of the family's 1831-position model. The record is from RNAcentral.